NNNNNNNNNNNNNNNNNNNNNNNNNNNNNNNNNNNNNNNNNNNNNNNNNNNCCCCAUGCAAAUGAGCCGCCGGCCGGCCCUGGGGGCGCGAGCGCGCGCCGCCCAGUGGGACCGCCCCAACCCCCCUCACCGGGCACCGGGCUCCAGGCGCCCGCCUGCUACCAGCUUUCGAGGCUGGCACGGGGGAUGUCACCUUUUCUCCAAAUGCACGUCCCCCGCCCUCCAUCAAGGGCGAGAACGCGUCCUUCCUCACGGGCUAAGCAAACGCAUCCUCUUCUGGGAAGACCGCUGGGAUUACUCCCCCCACCCCCAACAUGCGCCCCUGCAGCCCCCAUGCAGCCCUCAAGAUGCUGGCCUCAAGUCGACUUCUGCCUUCACCUCCCACCAAACCGUGGGCAUUACGCACGUGUCCAUAGGACCGACCGAUCAGAUAUGAAUCUAUUAACGAGAAGGGGCAUACCACAGCUGGCAGAAAACGAAUAAUGACCCCCCUCACCAACUCUGGUCAGGCCCACCGUGAAAGCCCCAGGAAAUGACGACUCAAGGCAGGGAGGCUGGGAACUCCAACAGGUCCCAUAAUGAGGCACAGAGCCACAGUUCCACCAGACAUGCCUGAGGGUCCGGGUCUACCCAGGGUUGAGGAGCUCACCACCUCCCCCCUUCUCCAGUGAAACGAACCAAGUGACCCUGAAUUGUCCCCCAUAGUCUCGGUUCUGCCCUAGGAGUUCUGCUCCCACCCCAAUCCCUCAGUCCGUGCUGUCCAGGCCUAACGGCAUGCCCAACAACAUGGGGGUAGGAGGCAGCCAGGAAUGAGAGGGAAGGAAGAGGCACCCCAGGGAAACUGAGGGGAGAGCACCUUGGUUUUAGCACCUAGGCUGCAGAAUAGUGACCGUCACCCCACACAACACAAUCAGGGUAUGCCAGAGUCUCUGAGCACCUCCAGGGUUGCACAAUGGCCUGCAGCAAGGUCUAGGGUAGAACCAGUGCAGUGCCUUAUCUCCAGGAUCCUCAGCUGUCCCCCUAGACCAUUGGCUGAGCUUACAGACACCAUUAGGCAGCUCACAAUGCCAGAGAAGCAGGGGGUCAAACCUGGCUUUGCCCUGCAGGGAACCCUCUGGCAUGGCCUAGAAAAUACAUACAAGCCCAAGAUGGACCCACAGCUGCCCCUACACCUGAAGCACCUAUCUGACACCCAGGGCUCGACUGACCCAGCCCCUGGCCAGGUGUGCCGCCUCAGCCCUCUCCCAUCUGUAAAAGGAAGGCAUUGGGCUAAAGGCCCCUGGACAGCUUGUUCAAAAUCACAUUCCUUAGGGCACCUGGCUGGCUCAGUUGGUAGAGAGCAUGUAACUUUUUUUUUUUUUAAGAUUUUAUUUAUUUAUUUGACAGAGAUCACAAGUAGGCAGAGAGGAGGAAGCAGGCUCCCUGCUGAGCAAAGAGCCCGAUGCGGGACUCGAUCCCAGGACCCUGAGAUCAUGACCUGA
RNAcentral lists this long non-coding RNA (1481 nucleotides) under Mustela putorius furo (domestic ferret). Its description in RNAcentral is "lncRNA (ENSMPUG00000024479.1)". Lineage: Eukaryota; Metazoa; Chordata; Mammalia; Carnivora; Mustelidae. The record is from RNAcentral.